CCUACGGGUGGCAGCAGUGAGGAAUAUUGGUCAAUGGACGGAAGUCUGAACCAGCCAAGUAGCGUGAAGGAUGACUGCCCUAUGCGUUGUAAACUUCUUUUAUCAAGGAAUAAAAUGAGGCACGAGUGCCUGUCUGAAGGUACUUUAUGAAUAAGCAUCGGCUAACUCCGUGCCAGCAGCCGCGGUAAUACGGAGGAUGCGAGCGUUAUCCGGAUUUAUUGGGUUUAAAGGGUGCGUAGGCGGACUUUUAAGUCAGCGGUAAAAUCCUGGGGCUCAACCCCAGCCAGCCGUUGAAACUGGGGGUCUAGAGAGGGCGAGAGGUAUGCGGAAUGCGUGGUGUAGCGGUGAAAUGCAUAGAUAUUACGCAGAACCCCGAUUGCGAAGGCAGCAUACCGGUGCCCAACUGACGCUGAGGCACGAAAGCGUGGGUAUCGAACAGGAUUAGAUACCCGUGUAGUC
Molecule: ribosomal RNA, 459 nt
Filed under: uncultured bacterium
Lineage: Bacteria
Description: partial 16S ribosomal RNA
Rfam family: Bacterial small subunit ribosomal RNA
Source: RNAcentral